Molecule: ribosomal RNA, 376 nt
Filed under: uncultured organism
Description: partial 16S ribosomal RNA
Rfam family: Bacterial small subunit ribosomal RNA
Source: RNAcentral
GUAGGGGGCGAGCGUUGUCCGGAUUUAUUGGGCGUAAAGAGCUCGUAGGCGGCUCAGCAAGUCGGCCGUGAAAGCCUGAGGCUCAACCUCAGGACGCCGGUCGAAACUGCUGUGGCUAGGGUCCGGUAGAGGAGAGUGGAAUUCCCGGUGUAGCGGUGAAAUGCGCAGAUAUCGGGAGGAACACCAGUAGCGAAGGCGGCUCUCUGGGCCGGUACCGACGCUGAGGAGCGAAAGCUAGGGGAGCAAACAGGGAUUAGAUACCCUGGUAGUCCUAGCCGUAAACGUUGGGUACUAGGUGUGGCGGAUUCAUUGACAUCUGCCGUGCCGAAGCUAACGCAUUAAGUACCCCCGCCUGGGGAGUACGGUCGCAAGGCUA